This 68-nucleotide transfer RNA is filed under the name Mesohomotoma hibisci. RNAcentral describes it as "tRNA-Pro". Lineage: Eukaryota; Metazoa; Arthropoda; Insecta; Hemiptera; Carsidaridae. The record is from RNAcentral.
UCAACUAAUAGUUUAAUUAAAACUUUAGUUUUGGAUACUAAUAAUAAAUAUUUUUGUAUUUUUAGUUG